RNAcentral lists this ribosomal RNA (468 nucleotides) under uncultured bacterium. RNAcentral's name for it is "partial 16S ribosomal RNA". It matches the Rfam family "Bacterial small subunit ribosomal RNA", at positions 28 to 507 of the family's 1533-position model. The record is from RNAcentral.
GACGAACGCUGGCGGCGUGCUUAACACAUGCAAGUCGAACGGAAAGGCCCUGCUUUUGUGGGGUGCUCGAGUGGCGAACGGGUGAGUAACACGUGAGUAACCUGCCCUUGACUUUGGGAUAACUUCAGGAAACUGGGGCUAAUACCGGAUAGGAGCUCCUGCUGCAUGGUGGGGGUUGGAAAGUUUCGGCGGUUGGGGAUGGACUCGCGGCUUAUCAGCUUGUUGGUGGGGUAGUGGCUUACCAAGGCUUUGACGGGUAGCCGGCCUGAGAGGGUGACCGGCCACAUUGGGACUGAGAUACGGCCCAGACUCCUACGGGAAGCAGCAGUGGGGAAUAUUGCACAAUGGGCGGAAGCCUGAUGCAGCAACGCCGCGUGCUGGAUGACGGCCUUCGGGUUGUAAACCGCUUUCGCCUGUGACGAAGCGUGAGUGACGGUAAUGGGUAAAGAAGCACCGGCUAACUACGUG